GCUGCGCCUGCCCAAAAGAAGGUGUCGGCGCCGUUACCGUCGUAGCUGAACGACUUCAAGAGCAAGGUGUAUUCGUCGACGGCGUAAACAUCACCGGAAACUUGGUGAUGAUAGGCGUUCAACUUUCCGAGAGACCGAUCGAACCGGAUGUGAAGACAAACAUUCAAGGAAUGUUUCUGACUACAUCGAAGUUCUAUAGAACAGUUCACUGUCAGCUGACGAUGAAUUAGCCACCACACACAAUAUGCGAAGUUUCCGAAACAGAUGAAACUUUCUUCAAGAAACUAGCUCUAUCAACUGGACCAUUGAGAAAUAUAUUAUUAUACAAGAAAUUCAGUUCAUGUGACGAAUUCCACGAUUCACAUUAACUCCAUUUCGUUAAAUACAACCACCUUGAUGAUAGUUUUAUGUGUAAAUAAACUAUAGAAUAAAUAUGUGAACCAUGCUGCUUUAAUGUAUGCGAAUUAGUUUUUUAAUUUUGAUUUCUAUUUUAUAAGAGUCGAAUGAUCAUUGUAGUUAUGGAUGUGUUUGUGGCCAAGUAUAAGUAUGAUUUCUGUAUGGGUAUAACUGCAUUAAGCACCUUUGCUUUCG
Molecule: long non-coding RNA, 591 nt
Filed under: Neodiprion lecontei (redheaded pine sawfly)
Lineage: Eukaryota; Metazoa; Arthropoda; Insecta; Hymenoptera; Diprionidae
Description: uncharacterized LOC124293558
Source: RNAcentral